CGUUCUAUUGCCGAAAUGGUGAAGGCAUCGCCGAUAACAGGCAGAUGCGGGUUCGAGUCCCGCUGGAAUGG
Molecule: transfer RNA, 71 nt
Filed under: Operophtera brumata (winter moth)
Lineage: Eukaryota; Metazoa; Arthropoda; Insecta; Lepidoptera; Geometridae
Rfam family: tRNA
About the family: Transfer RNA (tRNA) molecules are approximately 80 nucleotides in length. Their secondary structure includes four short double-helical elements and three loops (D, anti-codon, and T loops). Further hydrogen bonds mediate the characteristic L-shaped molecular structure. tRNAs have two regions of fundamental functional importance: the anti-codon, which is responsible for specific mRNA codon recognition, and the 3' end, to which the tRNAs corresponding amino acid is attached (by aminoacyl-tRNA synthetases). tRNAs cope with the degeneracy of the genetic code in two manners: having more than one tRNA (with a specific anti-codon) for a particular amino acid; and 'wobble' base-pairing, i.e. permitting non-standard base-pairing at the 3rd anti-codon position.
Source: Rfam by way of RNAcentral